This 508-nucleotide ribosomal RNA is filed under the name uncultured bacterium. Its description in RNAcentral is "partial 16S ribosomal RNA". It matches the Rfam family "Bacterial small subunit ribosomal RNA", at positions 28 to 507 of the family's 1533-position model. The record is from RNAcentral.
GACGAACGCUGGCGGCGUGCCUAAUACAUGCAAGUCGAGCGCUUCGUUCCUCCCGAUUGCUUGCACUCAAUUGGGAAGGGGGGGUGCGUACGGCUUGGUAACACUUGCUUAACCUACCCGUCAGAUGGGGAUAACACUUGGAAAUAGCUGCUAAUACCUCAUAACAGUUUAUGCCGCAUUGCAAGAGAGUUAUGCUCGCUUUCAUGUAUCGCUGAUGGAUGGACCCGCGGUUCAUUAGCUAGUUGGUUUGGUAACGGCUCACCAAGGCCACGAUGCAUAGCCGACCUGAGAGGGUGAUCGGCCACACUGGGACUGAGACACGGCCCAGACUCCUACGGGAGGCAGCAGUAGGGAAUCUUCGGCAAUGGACGAAAGUCUGACCGAGCAACGCCGCGUGAGUGAAGAAGGUUUUCGGAUCGUAAAACUCUGUUGUUAGAGAAGAACAAGGACGUAAGUAACUGAACGUGCCCUGACGGUAUCUAAUCAGAAAGCCACGGCUAACUACGUG